This 187-nucleotide ribosomal RNA is filed under the name uncultured Staphylococcus sp. RNAcentral's name for it is "partial 16S ribosomal RNA". It matches the Rfam family "Bacterial small subunit ribosomal RNA", at positions 153 to 334 of the family's 1533-position model. The record is from RNAcentral. Lineage: Bacteria; Bacillati; Bacillota; Bacilli; Caryophanales; Staphylococcaceae.
AACCGUAGAGCUAAUACCGGAUAAUAUAUUGAACCGCAUGGUUCAAUAGUGAAAGACGGUUUUGCUGUCACUUAUAGAUGGAUCCGCGCCGCAUUAGCUAGUUGGUAAGGUAACGGCUUACCAAGGCAACGAUGCGUAGCCGACCUGAGAGGGUGAUCGGCCACACUGGAACUGAGACACGGUCCAG